Molecule: non-coding RNA, 201 nt
Organism: Lachnoanaerobaculum sp. ICM7
Lineage: Bacteria; Bacillati; Bacillota; Clostridia; Lachnospirales; Lachnospiraceae
Source: Rfam
UGGAGAGUAACUCCAUGGCAGGGUAGCUAUGUCGGGACGGGAUAAACGCUGAAGGCAUCUAAGCGUGAAGCCCCCCUCAAGAUGGGAUAUCUCAUGUGAAAACAGUAAGACCCCUUGAAUACUACGAGGUAGAUAGGGCCAAGAUGUAAGUACAGUAAUGUAUUAAGUUGAUGGUUACUAAUAGGUCGAGGGUUUAACCAA